This 79-nucleotide microRNA precursor is filed under the name Mus pahari (shrew mouse). RNAcentral describes it as "microRNA 6414 (MGP_PahariEiJ_G0006794.1)". The record is from RNAcentral. Lineage: Eukaryota; Metazoa; Chordata; Mammalia; Rodentia; Muridae.
UAUAAGCCUCUUCAGAGCCUGCUCUCUGGGGACUUGGAGCUCCCAGGUUUUCCUCAGUCUAAGGUCUGAGCUGAGUCUU